ACGCUGUGAUUCCUUGUGAGAUCCCUUCGGGGUGAUCACUCUGGAAACACUUGUCGCUGUCGAGUGGCGGACGGGUGAGUAAUGCGUAGGAAUUUGCCCUGAGGUGGGGGAUAGCCCGGAGAAAUCCGGAUUAAUACCGCGUAACCUCUACGGAGCAAAGUGGGCCUCUUCUUGAAAGCUCACGCCUUGGGAUAAGCCUACGUCGGAUUAGCUUGUUGGUAGGGUAACGGCCUACCAAGGCGACGAUCCGUAGCUGGUCUGAGAGGAUGAUCAGCCACACUGGAACUGAGACACGGUCCAGACUCCUACGGGAGGCAGCAGUGGGGAAUAUUGCACAAUGGGCGCAAGCCUGAUGCAGCAAUGCCGCGUGUGUGAAGAAGGCCUGCGGGUUGUAAAGCACUUUUAUCAGGAAAGAACCUGUCUGGGGAUAAUACCCCCAGGCACUGACGGUACCUGAGGAAUAAGCACCGGCUAACUCCGUGCCAGCAGCCGCGGUAAUACGGAGGGUGCGAGCGUUAAUCGGAAUUACUGGGCGUAAAGCGAGUGCAGGCGGCUACGUAAGUCGGAUGUGAAAGCCCUGGGCUUAACCUGGGAAUUGCAUUCGAUACUGCGUGGCUAGAGUCUGGUAGAGGGAAGUGGAAUUCCAGGUGUAGCGGUGAAAUGCGUAGAUAUCUGGAGG
This 679-nucleotide ribosomal RNA is filed under the name uncultured Gammaproteobacteria bacterium. RNAcentral's name for it is "bacterial SSU rRNA". It matches the Rfam family "Bacterial small subunit ribosomal RNA", at positions 66 to 704 of the family's 1533-position model. Lineage: Bacteria; Pseudomonadati; Pseudomonadota; Gammaproteobacteria. The record is from RNAcentral.